GUGCUCACUUCAGCAGCACAUAUACGUUAAAAAAAGGAACGAUAUGGAGAAGAUUAGCACGGCCCGGCGCAAGAAUGACACACAAAUUCGUGAAGUGUUUCAUAUAAAA
Small nuclear RNA from Octodon degus (degu), 109 nucleotides. The record is from Ensembl. NCBI's taxonomy places the organism in Eukaryota, Metazoa, Chordata, Mammalia, Rodentia, Octodontidae.